RNAcentral lists this ribosomal RNA (253 nucleotides) under uncultured prokaryote. RNAcentral describes it as "partial 16S ribosomal RNA". It matches the Rfam family "Bacterial small subunit ribosomal RNA", at positions 525 to 777 of the family's 1533-position model. The record is from RNAcentral.
ACGUAGGGACCAAGCGUUGUUCGGAUUUACUGGGCGUAAAGGGCGCGUAGGCGGCAAUUCAAGUCAGCUGUGAAAUCUCCGGGCUUAACUCGGAACGGUCAGCUGAUACUGCUUUGCUAGAGUGCGGAAGGGGCAAUCGGAAUUCUCGGUGUAGCGGUGAAAUGCGUAGAUAUCGAGAGGAACACCUGCGGCGAAGGCGACUCCCUGGCCUGUUCUUGACGCUGAGGCGCGAAAGCUGGGGGAGCAAACGGGA